UACGAAGGGGGCUAGCGUUGUUCGGAUUUACUGGGCGUAAAGCGCACGUAGGCGGAUCGUUAAGUCGGGGGUGAAAUCCUGGAGCUCAACUCCAGAACUGCCUUCGAUACUGGCGAUCUUGAGUCCGGAAGAGGUGAGUGGAACUCCUAGUGUAGAGGUGGAAUUCGUAGAUAUUAGGAAGAACACCAGUGGCGAAGGCGGCUCACUGGCCCGAUACUGACGCUGAGGCACGAAAGCGUGGGGAGCAAACGGG
RNAcentral lists this ribosomal RNA (253 nucleotides) under uncultured bacterium. RNAcentral's name for it is "partial 16S ribosomal RNA". It matches the Rfam family "Bacterial small subunit ribosomal RNA", at positions 524 to 776 of the family's 1533-position model. The record is from RNAcentral.